This 557-nucleotide antisense RNA is filed under the name Pongo abelii (Sumatran orangutan). The stretch from base 110 to 202 matches the Rfam family "ZNFX1 antisense RNA 1 conserved region 2". The record is from RNAcentral. Lineage: Eukaryota; Metazoa; Chordata; Mammalia; Primates; Hominidae.
CUUUCGCGUCCGCGGCGCUGUGAGUGUGGUGGUUCCGCAGGUUGCAGUCAGGCUUCGUACGCUAUUGUCCUUCCCGUGAGUUCCCGUUUUGUGUGUGGUUAGAGCAGCCAGCGGGUACAGAAUGGAUUUUGGAGGAGGGAGUCACCACUGGACCUCCAAGGAAGCCACGUGCAGACAUCUACAACCUUCGAUCUCUUGACGAGUUUAUUGUUGGCUAAAACCAACCAGGAUGAAUGCGGGCGUUGGAAGUAGAAUAUAUACAUAUACAUAUAAAAUUGGUUGGGAGCCACGUGUACCAGUGUGUUGAUCUUGGCUUGAUUCAGUCUGCCUAGUAACAGAAACUGGCGAUGGUAUAUGAGAGGAGCCCUCUGGAAAGAAAAGGACAGACCCUGUGCUUUCAUGAAAGUGAAGAUCUGGCUGAACCAGUUCCACAAGGUUACUGUAUACAUAGCCUGAGUUUAAAAGGCUGUGCCCAUUUGAAGAAUGUCAUUGUUAGACUUUGGUGAAAUUUCUAACUGCCUACCUGGAUAAAGAAAAUAAAAUCUUUUAAAUCAAAA